This 442-nucleotide ribosomal RNA is filed under the name uncultured bacterium. RNAcentral's name for it is "partial 16S ribosomal RNA". It matches the Rfam family "Bacterial small subunit ribosomal RNA", at positions 339 to 795 of the family's 1533-position model. The record is from RNAcentral.
CUACGGGGCGCAGCAGUGAGGAAUAUUGGGCAAUGGGCGCAAGCCUGACCCAGCAACGCCGCGUGAGGGAAGAAUGUCUUCGGAUUGUAAACCUCUGUCCUUGGGGACGAAAAAAAUGACGGUACCCAAGGAGGAAGCUCCGGCUAACUACGUGCCAGCAGCCGCGGUAAUACGUAGGGAGCGAGCGUUGUCCGGAAUUACUGGGCGUAAAGGGUGCGUAGGCGGCUAGGCAAGUCAGAUGUGAAAUACCCAGGCUUAACUUGGGGGGUGCAUUUGAAACUGCUUGGCUUGAGUGCAGGAGAGGAAAGCGGAAUUCCUAGUGUAGCGGUGAAAUGCGUAGAUAUUAGGAGGAACACCAGUGGCGAAGGCGGCUUUCUGGACUGCAACUGACGCUGAGGCACGAAAGCGUGGGGAGCAAACAGGAUUAGAUACCCUUGUAGUC